Molecule: long non-coding RNA, 2635 nt
Filed under: Panax ginseng (ginseng)
Lineage: Eukaryota; Viridiplantae; Streptophyta; Magnoliopsida; Apiales; Araliaceae
Description: long non-coding RNA (PGIN_LNC017021)
Source: RNAcentral
GAGGUUUAAAUUUCAGCGUGUCAUGCAGAAAGUCCUUUCCAUUAAUUUAUAUGUGGAUCCAGAAGGUCAUUUAAUAUUGAACUUCAUGGUAUGUUUUCUGUUCCUUUAAGUUGGGGUAUUUGCAAAUGAUUCAAACAUUUUAUUCGUAUGUGAAUCUACUGCAGGGAAGUGUAGAGCAAAAGCAUACUUGCUUUGAGAUGGUCCGCAUUUUAGGGACAAACAAGCAGGUAAUACAUCAUUCAUACAUUUCUUAUUAACUCUGUAGCUCGAUUUUAGCUUAUUUUCUCUUCCACUGAGAGUCUGAGAUAAGCAGUAUAAUUUAAAAUCUCUAUUUCUCUGAACAGAGUCAUACUUGGAAAGUAUUCUGGCUUGUUUCACUGUUUUGAUCUAUAGUAUUGACAUCUAGUGAUCUACACAUGACAUGAAAAAUGUCCAGGUCCGUGUACAAUCAUGAGAUCUAGUCAAUUAGUAUUUCCCCUUAAUUAAGUCAAUGGCAUGUAUAUAUUUUGUGUUUCCGUGUGGACAAAGUAGUUGAUAGGAGAUCUUAUAGGAAAAGCAACACAGUUUGAAUAAGUGUUCCCUGGAUUCCCAAUUAUUUUCAGUUUGUGGAACAAAUGCGAGAACUCGCAUAAGCUACACAGGAUAGGACGUGGUAUGCUAAAGAUAGCUUUAUAUGGAUGCUUAUAAUAAGAAAAUCACUUAAAAUCUAGAUGCAAUAAAGCUAAAUUUCAGAUAAGGUUUUUAGUUACAUCAACAAGUUUAUUGUUUUAGAAAUAAUUUAGUAAAAAUACGAUGUUGGAGCAUCCAAUACUUUUUGCAAUUAGAUAUGAAAACAAAGAAAUUGAUGGGUUGCAUCGAACUAAAUAUUGAUAUUUGUGCAAUUAGAUGUAGAAAACAAAGAAAUAUACCUAAAUUUAGAGUUCUGGAACAUAAAGAUGUUAGAGAAUAACAACGCAGCGGAAACAAUAGUAAAGAGAAAAUCGAAAGAAAAUAAUCACACAAGAAACAAAAUUUACGUGGUUCACUCCACGGUCGGCGGUUGAUCAGUUCACUAUCUUGUGGAAAUUUCGUACAUCUUACGAUUGUUAGAUCCUCUCCAUAUAUAAAUAUAAGAAACCCGAAUUCAACCUGGAAGUACAAAACUACUUUGGGAGUUUGGAUAAGUAGAUCUUCAAAAUGAGGAUAUAGGAAAUGGAAUACCACACAUGAAGAAAUCUCUACCUUCUCUAUUAAACCUACUCAGCAAAAUCAUUAUAUCAUCCCAAUUCCAUCAGUCUUCUCGGUGGAUCCACUGAGUGACGACGCUGAUCUGUUUGCUUAUGCAUGGAACAUAUAAGGAUGACUACCUCACCUUGUCCUUUGCUAAAAUUGGUCUUCUAGUAUAGCUAUCUGAAGUAGGAAAAAAAUUGUUAUAAUUAAUAAGGCUUAAUUUAAAUACAUAUCAAUCUUUUUAAAUUUCUUUGUCAGUCAGUGUCUUUCGAAAGCAACUUUCGAAAGCUACAUUGGACCAUCCAGAGUAAGAAAAUAUAUACAUAUGUAUGCCUUAGUACUGUUUCUAAAAUCCUUUGACUUUUCUUUUCUUUUUCUUUUUGUUAAACAUCAAGAGAAUAUGAAUAUGCCCCAGUAUUACUAAAAUAAGAUGGAGUACUCAAUUCAUUAAAUUGUCAUAGUAUUUAUUUUACUGAUUAAUUAAUUUACUCUUUGAUUUCUUUGUAACAACUCUAGUUGUUUUAUUUGUACUUCAGUUUGCUGUGUUCUUUGCCACGAAUAACUUCCUUUUCACCAAGUUCAACUUUUUAUUUCUUAUACUAUUCCUGUCGAUACUUGUGUAUAAUUAGAAAAUUCUAUAAUCCAUCAUUCAGAAAGCACUAGGAUGUAGCUCUUUGACAACCGAGUUAUCCUGAUCGAUUGUAGGCCUAGUCGGAAAGGAAAAACUAUGGCACUAUAGCUACACUCUUCUCGUAUACUUUCAAGUUUUACACAUUAGAUAUCCUUUUUUAAUUCAUACUAAUCAAAUAAAUAAAAAAAGAAAAUAAAAGAUGUUUGCUUGAUUCAUUCUAGUAGAAUAACAAAUCUUCAAAAAUUGUAGAAGUUAUCAAUAUUUCACUUGUGUGUAAUAUAUAUCUCUGGGAGCAAAUUAAACAAAUACAUGGAAAGAACAUUAAUAUCACACAUUCACACCUUUAAACUGCAAAAUUUUGUAUAUUUGAAGACAUAUCAUAUUUUUGAAGAAGCUAAUCAAUUGUGAAGUGGGUCUGGUCCACCUGGAACAGUCCGGUCUGACAUACCAUAAAUUGGUUCGACGCCAUCAUUUUUGGCUUCAAUGGGAACUGCUGCAGGAAAAUGCAUUGAGAACGGGGAACGGAAUUCUGGUUCUGGUUUAAAUUCCAUCUCUGUUCCUUCAAUUGUAACUCUCUUCAUAUCGCGGCAAUUUGAGAGCUGAGUGAAGGUGAGCAUGACCAUGAUGAACAGAAAUGGGACCCCGGGAUUUUGAGUACCCAUGAUUCUUAUGAUGAGAAAUAGCUGAAGAACUAGUGCCCAAUAGAUGAAGCAGGUAAAAUGGAGCUUGUUCUCUAAUGCAGGCUGUGAAGUCUUUUAUAUGCCUUUGGGUAACCUGUGGACUAUAUAAAAGCCA